ACCCCGGCGAGGGGAGUGAAAAAGAACCUGAAACCGUGUACGUACAAGCAGUGGGAGCCCCACCACUAAGCCAGUGGUGAACUCCACAUACGCAUCCUUUGCUGAAGGCAAUGGUUAACGGAGCGAAAGCGACGUUCAACCGCAAAACAAGCAGAGGGGGCUUAGUGGUGGGGUGACUGCGUACCUUUUGUAUAAUGGGUCAGCGACUUAUAUUCUGUAGCAAGGUUAACCGUAUAGGGGAGCCGGAGGGAAACCGAGUCUUAAUUGGGCGUUAAGUUGCAGGGUAUAGACCCGAAACCCGGUGAUCUAGCCAUGGGCAGGUUGAAGGUUGGGUAACACUAACUGGAGGACCGAACCGACUAAUGUUGAAAAAUUAGCGGAUGACCUGUGGCUGGGGGUGAAAGGCCAAUCAAACCGGGAGAUAGCUGGUUCUCCCCGAAAGCUAUUUAGGUAGCGCCUCGUGAAUUCAUCUCCGGGGGUAGAGCACUGUUUCGGCUAGGGGGCCAUCCCGGCUUACCAACCCGAUGCAAACUGCGAAUACCGGAGAAUGUUAUCACGGGAGACACACGGCGGGUGCUAACGUCCGUCGUGAAGAGGGAAACAACCCAGACCGCCAGCUAAGGUCCCAAAGUCAUGGUUAAGUGGGAAACGAUGUGGGAAGGCCCAGACAGCCAGGAUGUUGGCUUAGAAGCAGCCAUCAUUUAAAGAAAGCGUAAUAGCUCACUGGUCGAGUCGGCCUGCGCGGAAGAUGUAACGGGGCUAAACCAU
This 768-nucleotide ribosomal RNA is filed under the name Salmonella enterica. RNAcentral's name for it is "partial 23S ribosomal RNA". It matches the Rfam family "Bacterial large subunit ribosomal RNA", at positions 523 to 1190 of the family's 2925-position model. Lineage: Bacteria; Pseudomonadati; Pseudomonadota; Gammaproteobacteria; Enterobacterales; Enterobacteriaceae. The record is from RNAcentral.